ACGAGAGAAGCGCAUGCGUGAGGCCCACCCGCAGCGCUGCCAUUGAGGAGCAUUGACUCAGUGAGUGGAAGAGGUUUGUUUGAAACAGGCCGCAAUGGAGAGACCAGCGCCCAGGGAAGCGAGGGAACAGCAGGCUCCUUCCAGCAGCGCAUCGAGAUGCAAAUUCUCAAAGAAACAACAUUUCCUUGUUAGAAAGCCAAGUGUGAGCAGUUGCUUCUAACUAACACCAGGCAUGUUCCUGCAAUCAGAAUGGAGAACAUCUUUUCCACAGUCAGAGUGGAUUGGAUCAGACUUGUAUUGAGCUCAAUUUCCAGAGACUUGUCUGAGGAAAGGCAAGUUUUUUUUGUUUUUCAUUGUCAAUUGGAACUAGCAUGAUGUGAAUUAAUAUCAUUUGUAGCCCAUGAACAUUUAAAUCAUGUUUGAAAGGUUAA
Long non-coding RNA from Stegostoma tigrinum, 431 nucleotides. RefSeq lists it as uncharacterized. The transcript is spliced from 2 exons. Lineage: Eukaryota; Metazoa; Chordata; Chondrichthyes; Orectolobiformes; Stegostomatidae. The record is from RefSeq and is a predicted model, not a curated record.